This is a long non-coding RNA of Homo sapiens (human), 466 nucleotides long. Ensembl annotates it as INTS6 antisense RNA 1. Its record names the gene INTS6-AS1. The record is from Ensembl. NCBI's taxonomy places the organism in Eukaryota, Metazoa, Chordata, Mammalia, Primates, Hominidae.
CAGCCUCGUCCCAAAUGCCGUGGGAGGGAAGGCACUCUCUGUCAAGCUGCUGUCACCUUACCUGAAGUAAGGAGUCCACGCCUGCAUGUCCGAGGAAAACAGUUUUCUCAAACACAUUAGUUGAAAAACUGAAGACGCUGCCUAAAAUACAAGCUGAGUUAGAGACAGCCCUUGUAAGACUAGGAAAGGCCUUGUGAGGACAUAACCAGGAAGAGAGUCCUCACCAGAACCUGACCAUACCUGCACCCUGAUCUCAAGCUUCCAGCUUCCAGAACCAUGAGAAAUCAAUGUUUGUUGUUUUAGCCACCCAGUCUACAGAAAUUUGUUAUAGCCACCCUAGCUGACUACCACAUUGGACAUCACAGCAAACACUACAACCAGUAAGUCUCUGCUUGUAUUAACUGGAACAUUUCCAAAGCCUGUCCUACUCAGGAUAAAUGCACAAAAGAAAAAUUAGUAGUUGACG